Molecule: ribosomal RNA, 253 nt
Filed under: uncultured bacterium
Lineage: Bacteria
Description: partial 16S ribosomal RNA
Rfam family: Bacterial small subunit ribosomal RNA
Source: RNAcentral
UACGGAGGGGGCGAGCGUUAUUCGGAAUUAUUGGGCGUAAAGGGCGCGUAGGCGGCUGUACAAGUCAAAGGUGAAAUCCCUCGGCUCAACUGAGGAACUGCCUUUGAAACUGUACGGCUUGAGGCCGGGAGGGGGUAGCGGAAUUCCCAGUGUAGCGGUGAAAUGCGCAGAUAUCAGGAGGAACACCAAUGGCGAAGGCAGCUCGCUGGGACGUGACUGACGCUGAGACGCGAAAGCGUGGGGAGCAAACAGG